GAUGAACGCUGGCGGCGUGCCUAAUACAUGCAAGUCGAGCGAACAGACGAGGAGCUUGCUCCUUCGACGUUAGCGGCGGACGGGUGUGUAACACGUAGGUAACCUACCUAUAAGACUGGGAUAACUUCGGGAAACCGGAGCUAAUACCGGAUAAUAUUUCGAACCGCAUGGUUCGAUAGUGAAAGAUGGCUUUGCUAUCACUUAUAGAUGGACCUGCGCCGUAUUAGCUAGUUGGUAAGGUAACGGCUUACCAAGGCAACGAUACGUAGCCGACCUGAGAGGGUGAUCGGCCACACUGGAACUGAGACACGGUCCAGACUCCUACGGGAGGCAGCAGUAGGGAAUCUUCCGCAAUGGGCGAAAGCCUGACGGAGCAACGCCGCGUGAGUGAUGAAGGUCUUCGGAUCGUAAAACUCUGUUAUUAGGGAAGAACAAACGUGUAAGUAACUGUGCACGUCUUGACGGUACCUAAUCAGAAAGCCACGGCUAACUACGU
Molecule: ribosomal RNA, 496 nt
Filed under: uncultured bacterium
Lineage: Bacteria
Description: partial 16S ribosomal RNA
Rfam family: Bacterial small subunit ribosomal RNA
Source: RNAcentral